CAAACUUCACGGAUUAGCAUUGAGCCUUGGGAGUACGGUUGCAAGAUUAAAAGUCAAAGGAACUGACGGGGGCCGGCACAAGCGGUAGAGCAUGAGGUUUAAUUCGAAGCAAUGGGCAGAACCUUACCAAGCCUUGACAUCAUAUGACCACCCAGUAGAUCAGGCUUUCUAAUAACAGACAUAUUGACAGGGGCUGCAUGGCUGUCGUCAGCUCGAGUCGCUAGAUGUUCGGUUAAGUCCGGCAACGAGCGCAACACACAUAUUUAGUUGCCAGCUGUUCGGCUGGGCACUUUAGAGAAACUGCCCGUGAUAAGCGGGAGGAAGGUGUGGAUGAAGUAAAGUCAUCAUGGCCGUUACGGGUUGGGAUAGACAAGUGCUACAACACAUCAACAAUGGGUUAAUACCUAAAAGAUGUCUCAGUUCGGAUUGGGGUCUGCAACUCGACCCCAUGAAGUCGGAAUCGCUAGUAAUAGCGUAACAACAUGACGCGGCGAAUACGUUCUCGCGUCUUGCACACCCCGCCCG
This 525-nucleotide ribosomal RNA is filed under the name uncultured bacterium. Its description in RNAcentral is "SSU rRNA". It matches the Rfam family "Bacterial small subunit ribosomal RNA", at positions 847 to 1396 of the family's 1533-position model. The record is from RNAcentral.